Molecule: long non-coding RNA, 607 nt
Filed under: Homo sapiens (human)
Lineage: Eukaryota; Metazoa; Chordata; Mammalia; Primates; Hominidae
Description: cytoskeleton regulator RNA
Source: RNAcentral
AGGGUUGCUUCUGCAGUUUGCCUUGGAGUCUGGGCUGUGGGAAAGGCUGCUGCGUCCUGGUGAGGACACUGCGUUUCUUUCAGACUUUGAAGAUCUGUCGUUUUAGAAAAGUGGCUGCCUCUGUCACCAGCCCCAUGGUUACUGUCCUUUAGUGUGACUGUCAGGAGGUGUUUCUCAGUCCUUCGUUGUAAGAAUGUAGAUGCCGGUUGCACCUUCUGUUGUCUUGGAAGAGACUGCAGUGCUUGGCUGGAAAAUAAGCUGCUCGGGACUCCUCUGAGAAGCCAAAGUGAAGCUCAGAGAUGGAAAAUAACUGGGAGAUGAAACAGGAAGCUCUAUGACACACUUGAUCGAAUAUGACAGACACCGAAAAUCACGACUCAGCCCCCUCCAGCACCUCUACCUGUUGCCCGCCGAUCACAGCCGGAAUGCAGCUGAAAGAUUCCCUGGGGCCUGGUUCCAACCGCCCACUGUGGACUCUGAGGCCUCUGCAUUUGCGGGUGGUCUGCCUGUGAUAUUUUGGUCAUGGGCUGGUCUGGUCGGUUUCCCAUUUGUCUGGCCAGUCUCUAUGUGUCUUAAUCCCUUGUCCUUCAUUAAAAGCAAAACUAAA